Molecule: long non-coding RNA, 7500 nt
Filed under: Gossypium barbadense (sea-island cotton)
Lineage: Eukaryota; Viridiplantae; Streptophyta; Magnoliopsida; Malvales; Malvaceae
Description: long non-coding RNA (GBAR_LNC004923)
Source: RNAcentral
UAUCACAACAAUCUAUCUGGCUUGAUCCCAACCUCAUUUGGUGACUUGAGACUUCUUACACUUGCCCACCUUUAUGAAAAUCAACUCUCUGGUCCUAUUCCUGAGGAGAUAGGAAACUUGAAUUCUCUUGUUGACCUAGAGUUGAGUGAAAACCAACUCAAUGGCUCUAUUCCUGCUUCACUUGGCAAUUUGAGCAACUUGGAAAUUCUGUUCCUCCGAGACAACCGACUCUCAGAUUCCAUUCCUAAUGAAAUCGGAAACUUGAUGAAGUUGAUUGUGUUAGAACUAGACCACAACAAUCUGACAGGAAAUUUGCCGCAAGGCAUUUGCCGUGGUGGAUCACUUGAAUACUUCACAGCAAAUGAUAACCAGCUUACCGGGCCAAUCCCUCAAGGGUUGAAAAAUUGCACUAGCUUGAAGAGAGUCUACCUUGAAAGAAACCGACUCAGAGGAAAUAUAUCUGAAGAUUUAGGCGUUUACCCAAACCUAACAUUCAUUGCAUUAAGUGACAAUGAACUUUAUGGUGAAGUGUCUUCCAAUUGGGGAUUGUGUAGAAGCUUACAGAGCCUAUCUAUUGCAAGGAACAAUCUCAGUGGUACAAUACCAGCUGAGAUUGGAAACUCACGUCAGAUACACAGGCUUGAUCUUUCUUCAAAUCAUUUAGUUGGGGAGAUUCCAAAGAAAAUUUCAAAGUUGACAUCUUUGCUUUAUCUUUAUUUGAAUGGGAAUAAACUUUCUGGUAGUGUACCCUUGGAACUAGGACUUAUGUCCAAGCUUUUGUAUCUAGAUUUGUCUGCAAACCGAUUGAGCAAGCCCAUCCCUGAAACUAUAGGGAAUCUGUCCAUGUCAUUCUACUUGAAUUUGAGCAUCAAUCAGUUUAGCCAAAAUAUUCCAAUUCAAGUAGGCAAGUUAACUCGUCUGGUUCAUCUAGAUUUGAGUCAAAACAUGCUUUCAGGGGAGAUUCCAGUGGAAUUUCAAAGUUUGCAGAGCUUGGAGACACUAAACCUUUCUCACAAUAAUCUCUCUGGUGAAAUACCAGCCUCUUUGGAGAAGCUCCGAGGCUUGUACACUGUUGACAUUUCAUAUAAUGACCUCCAGGGUCCCAUUCCCAACUGCCAAGCAUUUCUAAAUGCUUCAGUACAAGAAUUGGGAGGGAACAAAGGAUUAUGUGGCAAUGCUAGAGGAUUACUGCCUUGCACACCUUUUUGUAAGAAGGGUCACAACAACAACAAAGCCCUUUUAGUAGUUAUGUUCUCUCUUUUAUCGGUUUAUUGUCUCUUGAUUGCAUCAAUUGCUUUGUUGUUUGCCUUCAAGAGGAAGAAAGAUACAGAUGAAGAAAGACAAAGCAAUGAAAGUGAUGAAAUAUUUUUCUCUGUAACUCCCUUUAAUGGAAGAAUAUUGUAUGAAGAGAUCAUUAGAGCCACCAAAGAUUUUGAUGCUCAAUAUUGCAUUGGGAAGGGAGGAUAUGGAAACGUAUACAAAGCAGAGCUGUCAUCAGGAGAUGUUGUAGCUGUGAAGAAAUUCCAUCCGUUGCAUACCGGUGAAAUGGCAGAUCAAAGACAGUUCCUAAAUGAGGUAAGGGCAUUAGUAGAAACAAGACACAGAAAUAUCGUGAAGUUCUACGGUUUUUGUUCCUCUGCAGGUCAUUCCUUCUUAAUUUACAAGUACCUUGAAAGGGGUAGCUUGGCUUCAGUUCUCAGUAAGAAUGAAGAAUCUAAGAAAUUGGACUGGAACAAGAGGGUGAAUAUUGUCAAAGGUGCUGUUAAUGCCCUCUCCUAUUUGCACCACGACUGUUCACCACCCAUUGUUCAUCGAGAUAUAACAAGCAACAACAUUUUGCUUGAUUUGGAGUAUGAAGCUCACCUUUCAGACUUUGGCACUGCUAAGCUUCUCAAUCCAGACUCAUCCAAUUGGAGUAAUAUUGCUGGAACAUACGGAUACAUUGCACCAGGUGAUUUUCAUUGUACUUCCAUAGAUGACAUGGCAUAUAGGAUAAUAUUUGUCAUCAACUAUUUAUCUUUUUCUUUGCAGAGCUUUCCUACACCAUGCAAGUUACUGAAAAAUGUGAUGUGUAUAGUUUUGGUGUGCUGGCAUUGGAAUUGAUAUCCGGGUAAUAUCCAGGUGAAUUUCUCUCAAAUCUAUCGAUUUUAACAGCAGAAAGCAUUCCACUAAACAAUGUGUUGGAUCAAAGGCUUUCACCUCCACCGCCAGAAGUUGUGAACAAACUCGGAUUCAUCCUGAAGCUGGCUGUUUCAUGUUUAAAUAUCAAUCCAAAAUCUAGGCCAACCAUGCACACUGUUUCUCAGCUGGUGUUCGACCACAUCUAGUCACAUCUAGGACUCUUUGAUCUUCAUCUAAGAUACCACCUUAGAAACGUUUGGUAUUUGCUCUAAUGUUGUUUCUUUAGCUUUUGUGUAGUUAUAAUGGGUUAAUGGAUUAGCAUUUUUGUACCCUUAAUUACCUUUUUCCUUGAGAAUUGCUACUAGCUAGUUGGUGGUGCAACAAGAGUUGUUUCCGAUAUUUGUCUGUAACAGUUUAUCAUAAAUUAUAUUCUAGUAUUAUCUUUUCAAAGGUUUCACCCUCUAAUAUUGAUUGGGUCCUUCAAAGAGCUAAGCCUUUCGAAGCUUUCAACACCCACCCUAUUGCUAUUAAUCCAAGUCCUAUUGUCUCAUAUUAGUCCUACAUCAAUUAAAGGAUUCGCUAAUCCAUUUAUUAAUGCUCUCAAAUUUUAAUGUCUUCCCCAUUCUUUUUCUCUAAAGGGCCAUACCUAUAUCAACUAUCACUUGUAUUUAAUGGAGUGAUUUUCUUUUAAUUGAAUCUACUUGACCAGCCUCCAUUAACUCCUACCUUGAAUUAACUUAAAUGUAGAACUCAAAGGAUGGAUGAGGAUGUUCUUUGAAAACCUACCUCGCUUUCUUCAAUUGUAAUACCCAACCCAAAAUAAAAUCUAAUUAUCUUUUUAGGAUUUCUUUUUUUUACUAAAGCCUAUUAUGAAAAAUAAAAUUGCAAUAGGUGGAUUAUAAAGAAAGAUAAGAGAAUAAAACAUAAGAGAAUAAAAUUUGGGGAAAAUGGAGGAUGGAAAUUGAAUUCUAGCCAUAAAUUACCUGUUUUGAUUGUUUAAAGAAAUAUUUAUUAGAUUGCUACAAUUUGAUGGAAUUAUUUGAAAGAAAAUUUCUUAGUGAAUUAACUUUGUAAAAUUAUUAGGUUUUAUUUUAUCAUCUCUUAAGAGAUAUAAGUAUGAUUUUUAUUAGAUUGAAGGGUUAGCAGAUUAAUCAUAGCUUCUAACACAUCGAUACUUAUUUGCACAUUCAAGAAUAUAUAAUCAAAGCAUAAAUAGUUAACAAUAAAAAAAUAAAAUUCAACCAUAUUAAAAUUAUAAGAUAAAAUAUCGAAACUAUCUAAACUUUCUUAAGUUGCAAGCCCAUCAACCUAGUUACAUGCGACACUUACCUUAUGCUUAUUUUGCUUACACGUGAAAUGAAAAUCUAGAUCAAGUAAAAUUAUACUAAACAUCAUAUUUGAUAUUUGGAUUUAAUUUUUUUUAAUUUAGUAGCUAAGUUUUUUAGGUUCAUUUCAGUACAUAUUCUUAAUUUGGUACCUAAGUAUUUUUUUGUCCAAUUUGGUACUUAUAUUUGUCAGAUUAUAUACAAAUUACCCUAGAACACUAAUAGUGUUAGUUUUUUUAUAAGGUGACAAAAAUAUCUAGUGUAUGAACAUGUGAUAGAAGACAUGAAAUUUAAUGACAAUAAUGGUUACAUUUAUUUGAAGUUUCCUUAUGUUCAAAAUUAGUUGAAUGAAAGGAAAAUUGAAGAAAACAAUAGUUUUAAUAAAUUGAUUAUGUUAAAUUAAAAUAAUUUAAACUAAAAGUAAUGAAACAUUCAAAAUACAAAAAUAAAUUUCAUGUUAGUAUAUUGGAGUAUUUGUAAACAAUUGACAAGUUAGGGUACCAAAUUUGGAAAAAAACUUGAAUAGCAAAUUAAAAAAAAAAAUAUCAAAUUUUGAUAACAAAUUAGAUAAAAGAAAUUUAAAUACUAAAUUAAAAAAAUUUAAUAUCAUUACAUGUUGCAUGAUUGAUUACACCUCUUUAUACAUAUACCCUUAUAUUGUUUGAGAUACUGUAUGAAAUUAUUAUUCAAUUGAAUUUUUAAGUUUGAUAUUCAAAAUUUUUAUUUCCCGCAUAGAUUUCCCAUAAUCCCUUCCUAAUCCAUUUUUUAUAAAGAAGGAUAAACAUAUUCAAUAUGUCUAAACUUAUAUUCUCUUAUAUUGAUAAAGUUAAUUAUAACAAAUGUUCACAACAUAUAACCGAUAUAAUAUAUAAUUUUUUAUUUAGCAUUGAUUCUUAAAAAUAUUUUUGAGAUCAUAAGUAACGAUGAAUUAAAAAUUUUAAAGUCAAAAGUACUUGAAUCCAAACACAAAAUUAAAAUUUUUAAUUCUUUUUCUUUUGAAAAAAAAAAGUGAUUUUGAGUCAAAUAACAUUUUUAACCUUCAUUUAUAAUCUGAAGUAUUUUAUGUAAUAUUUAUAUGAGAUAUAUAUAAUCAUUUCCCUUUUAAAAUUUGUUUUAAAUAUAUAACAUUAUAUAUUUGAAUUUGUAAUGAUUAUAAAAUAGGGUUUGUACAUUUAUAUUAAAUUUUACAAACAGUUUAAAAUCUAAAUUGUAUAUAUCAAAAUAGGUUUAAUAAUAGUAUGUUACCUAAAAUUGUCUAAAAUUACUUGGUACUUAAAUUUGUAUUAUAGGACCUAGGUUGGUACCUCCGCAAUAACACCAUUAGCUUAUGUAAACCUGACACCAAUAAUCAAUUCGAUAGUGCUAGAUUACAACCUCUUAAUUAGAAAAAUUUUAAAAUAUAUAAAUUAAUAAGAAAAAGUAUAAAUUUUUUUCACAUAAAAAAUGAACAUGGACAAAUUGUUGUUCAAAUACAUUUAAAUCUGGACAUGUCUGGAUUAAUUCUAUAUGUAUUUUUUAAGUAAUUUCAUAUGUAUUUUUUUUAUUUUUUAUAAAAAUAUCAACUUAUUUAUAUUAUUAUUUUGAAAUUAAAAAUAUAUAAAAUUUAAAAAAAUAUAAAUUAAAAAAAAAGUUUUUACAUCAAAAUGAGCUUAGACAGUGAGUUAUCUAGAUUCAAAUGCCUCUGCACAACCAUUUGUCUGUGCAUUACUAUUUAAAUAAAAAUACAGAGUUGAAAGUGAAAGAGCUUUCUUUACAAGGUGGUAUUGUUAGAGAUGAUCAAGGAAUCGUCAGUCUUACAUUGUUAGUUGUUUGCCAAACUUUCGCUUGAUUUUAGAUACACAAUCAUCUUUCAAUCUUUGGGAUAGUGUUUUUUUUAACCGCAUCACUUCACUUCUUGUAUGUGCUCAUUCUUUUAAUACAUAGUCAUGAUGUGAGUUCUUUCUUUUUAUGCUCGCAAUAUGUUCGCCAUUUGUCCUCUUAGAAAUUUUCAUUUUUAGUUCUGGUAUCGCAGUUCUUGUUUUGGAACACUGAAUUCAUUGAAACACAAUCAAUUUUUGUUUCAAUUAUAGCUAGAACAGUGAGAUAUUCAUUUGUACACAUCUCCCACUUCGAGCCUUGUAUGAUAUUUUAUACUUGUUUAAGUUACACAAGAGUUGGUAUAAACUCUGAAAUGCUAUAGCUUCGGAACUAAAAGAGACAAAAGAGAAAAGCUUAUUGCCUGCGUGAAUGCCCGAAUAGAGAGGGAGAGUCUAUCAUACGUCAAGUAUAAAAAGUACCAACGACCAUUCACAAAGACUUAGAUGCAAGUCAACAAUGGUUUGAGAAAUGGGGGAGAGACUUAUGUUAUUAUGCUUGUAUUCAUUUUUAUACAUCUUCUGUUUCAAGUCUCAAAUGACAAUUUUAACUCUGUAAUAGCAGAAAGGUUGGUCUGAAAUGCGAUUGCUUUGGACCCAAAACAGAAAGGCGCUUUUAGCCUGUAUGAAUCAAAAGGGACAGUGUAUCAUACGUCAAGACUGAAAGGGGCAAAGGCCUCUUGACCUUGAAUGGGGCAUUGGGGCUAACAUAAAUUACUAUAAUACAAAGACUUCAACUUUGGAGUGAAAAAUGGGUGAGACUUUUAAUAGUUAGUUCCUAUAUAUAGGGAGAUAAAAGCUUAUUGCCUGUGUGAAUGUCCAAGUCAAGAGGGAGAGCCUGUCAUAAGUACAAAAUAAAAGUUUCCAAGGAAAUUAAUGGAAUGACGUAAACUAAUAGAAUGCAAAGACUUAGAGGGAUAGACUUAUGUUACUUCACCGAAUCCAUUUUUCCACAUCUCCUGUUUGUAGCCUUAUAGUUUUUCUUUGACGGUUGAAAGACUUAGUAGUUAGUUUGAUCGUACAGGCUACUGCAAUUAACCUAUAUAUAACCAUCAUAUCACGGUUGUUACUUGCAUGCAGAGCAUUUGUUAAUCAUGAAGAGUUUAACCUUGCUUGCUCCUUUACUCUUUUGUGUUACUUUACUAUGUUCUUCUCUUAAUGUUGCUUCUGAUUCUGCAGCAGAAGCAUUGGCAAUCCUCAAAUGGAAAGCCAGCCUUCAAAGUCAAAACCAUUCUGUUUUGCUUUCCUGGAAUACUUCCAACAACCCAAAUACCAAAACAAGUCCUUGUGCUUGGUUUGGAAUCCAUUGCAACCAUGCUGACAGUGUUAUAAAGAUUAACCUCACUGGCUAUGGUGUAAAAGGUACACUCCAUUUAUUUCCAUUCUUGUCUUUGCCUAAUCUUGCAGAGUUGGACCUUAGCACCAAUGAACUUUAUGGCAUAAUCCCACCUAAAAUCAGUCAGCUCUCCAAACUCACCUACCUCGAUUUAUCCUUUAACCAGUUCUCUGGGCAAAUCCCACCUGAAAUUAGCCACCUUGUACAUCUUCAGACCCUCCACCUUGCUGGAAAUCAGUUGAACGGCUCAAUUCCUCGAGAAAUUGGUCAGCUCAAAUUUCUCACUGACCUUGCCUUGUGUAGCAACAAGCUAAAUGGUUGCAUUCCUGCUUCUCUCGGUAAACUAAGUCGACUUGUUUCCUUGCUUCUCUAUAAUAAUUCCCUUUCUGGUCCCAUUCCUCCAGAAUUGGGAAACCUUAGGAAUUUGGUUGAAGUUUACCUGGACACCAACCGUCUAACUGGUCCAAUCCCUUCCACAUUUGGAAACUUGAAAAACCUGAGGGUGCUUCACAUGUUUAACAACAGUCUUUCAGGUCCCAUCCCCUCCGAGUUAGGGAAUAUGGAAUCUCUUUCUGAAAUAAGCCUUUAUCACAACAAUCUAUCUGGCUUGAUCCCAACCUCAUUUGGUGACUUGAGACUUCUUACACUUGCCCACCUCUAUGAAAAUCAACUCUCUGGUCCAAUUCCUGAGGAGAUAGGAAACUUGAAUUCUCUUAUUGACCUAGAGUUGAGUGAAAACCAACUCAAUGGCUCUAUUCCUGCUUCACUUGGCAAUUUGAGCAACUUGGAAAUUCUGUUCCUCCGAGACAACUGGCUUUCAGGUUCCAUUCCUAAUGAAAUUGGAAACUUGAUGAAGUUGACCAUG